UGGGGAAUAUUGCACAAUGGGGGAAACCCUGAUGCAGCGACGCCGCGUGAGCGAAGAAGGUAUUCGUAUCGUAAAGUUCUGUCCUAUGGGAAGAUAAUGACAGUACCAUAGCAGAAAGCUCCGGCUAAAUACGUGACAGCAGCCGCGGUAAUACGUAUGGAGCGAGCGUUGUCCGGAAUUAUUGGGCGUAAAGGGUACGCAGGCGGUUUAAUAAGUCGAAUGUUAAAGAUCGGGGCUCAACCCCGCAAAGCAUUGGAAACUGAUAAACUUGAGUAGUGGAGAGGAAAGUGGAAUUCCUAGUGUAGUGGUGAAAUACGUAGAUAUUAGGAGGAAUACCAGUAGCGAAGGCGACUUUCUGGACACAAACUGACGCUGAGGUACGAAAGCGUGGGGAGCAAACAGG
This 403-nucleotide ribosomal RNA is filed under the name bacterium. RNAcentral describes it as "partial 16S ribosomal RNA". It matches the Rfam family "Bacterial small subunit ribosomal RNA", at positions 355 to 776 of the family's 1533-position model. The record is from RNAcentral.